RNAcentral lists this unclassified non-coding RNA (418 nucleotides) under Hevea brasiliensis (rubber tree). The record is from RNAcentral. Lineage: Eukaryota; Viridiplantae; Streptophyta; Magnoliopsida; Malpighiales; Euphorbiaceae.
CUUCCAGAAAUUCACAAUCGCGAUCAAUUUGUUUGAUCAGUUCUUCAUACCAGUUUCGCUGGAGACGGAACACAAAGUUCAGAUCAAGGUCCUUGAGGGUAGUAGUUUCAUCAAUUUCUCCUUCAGGUUUAUCUGUUGUGCGGCCAUGUGAGGAACCUUUCAGGUCAAACCGUCUGUGAAUACGAUAUUCUGAGCAGAACAUGUUGCCCAUAACAAUGAACCGUGUCUUGACACCACCAACCGGUUUGACGCAAUGGACACCGUAGAACUUUGUGACCAGGGUAUUUUCAUAACGACAAACAUGUUGAUAGUAACUUGGAAGCAUCUUAAUAAGCACCUUGACUUCUGAUUUUUUCACAGUUUUGAUCAUAAACCUAUCAUCCUGAGUCAAAUAGAAGAAGCUUCCACUCUUCCCCGG